CGAGGCAACUCUGGAAAGCGUUCCAUCCAUGUCAUCGGGUGGACCACCGACGGGGCAAGUGGGGUCACCCUCACGAAAUCUCUCAGGUCCGAAGACAGAGCGGGGAGA
RNAcentral lists this non-coding RNA (108 nucleotides) under Pseudonocardia sp. Its description in RNAcentral is "Glycine sequence". It matches the Rfam family "Glycine riboswitch aptamer". Rfam says of the family: This family represents the bacterial glycine riboswitch. Glycine riboswitches usually consist of two metabolite-binding aptamers domains with similar structures in tandem. The record is from RNAcentral. Lineage: Bacteria; Bacillati; Actinomycetota; Actinomycetes; Pseudonocardiales; Pseudonocardiaceae.